AAUCUAUAUUACUAAACUAUUAAGAUCUUAUGUUGAUAAUAUGAAAAGAGAACUAUUAUUAAGAGUAGAAAAUUAUCAUCUUAAAAAUUUUCCAAAUACAAUUAAUAAUUUAAGGGAAAGUAUAGUUGAAAAAGAAAUACAGUUAAAAGAAGUAAUGACUAGUCAAAGAACGUGAAAGCCGUGUACGCGAAAACGACGCAGACCUUAUAUAUGUUUUUUCGAGUAGGACGGGGCACGAGAAACCCUGUUUGAAUCCGGCUGGACCACCAGCCAAGGCUAAAUAUAAUAUACGAUCGAUAGUGAACUAGUACAGCGAUGGAAAGGUGAAAAGAACCCCGGGAGGGGAGUGAAAUAGAACCUGAAAUUGUGUGCCUACAAGGAGUCGGAGCAGUAUUUAUGCUGUGACGGCGUGCUUUUUGUAGAACGAUCCAGCGAGUUAAUUUCAUGCGCCAGGUUAAGUCAAGUGACGGAGCCACAGUGAAAGCGAGCCUGAAUAGGGCGAUAAGUGCAUGGGAUUAGACCCGAAACCGGGUGACCUAACCAUGAGCAGGUUGAAGCUGCGGUAACACGCAGUGAAGGACCGAACCAGUUUGCGCAGUAAAGCAUUUGGAUGACUUGUGGUUAGCGGUGAAAUGCCAAUCGAACUCGGAGAUAGCUGGUUCUCCUCGAAAUAGCUUUAGGGCUAGCGUCAUGUAAUAUAGCCAACGGGGGUAGAGCUCUGUAAACGACUGGGGCGGGCAACUGUACCCACCGUUAACAAACUACGAAUACCGUUGGUGGUACCAUGGCAGUUAGAACAUCGGGGCUAAGCUCGGUGCUCAAAAGGGAAACAGCCCAGACCAUCAUCUAAGGUCCCUAAAUUAACACUAAGUGGGAAACAAGGUGAAAUUUCUUAAACAGCGAGGAUGUUGGCUUAGAAGCAGCCAUUCAUUUAAAGAGUGCGUAACAGCUCACUCGUCAAGAGAUUUUGCGUGGAAAAUGUAACGGGGCUAAAGUGUUAUACCGAAGAUAUGGAUUUCGUUAUUCCUACGGGUUUAACGGAGUGGUAGAGGAGCGUUCCUAUCGGCGGUGAAGCUCAAUCGUAAGGUUGGGUGGAGCGUUAGGAAGUGAGAAUGCUGGAAUGAGUAACCAUAAGAAAGGUGAGAAUCCUUUCGGCCGUAAGAGCGAGGUUUCCAGGGCUACUGUAAUAAUCCCUGGGUUAGUCGGGCCUAAGCCGAGGCGCAGCAGCGUAGGCGAUGGACAUCAGGUUAAUAUUCCUGAACCGGUUAUAAUUUGUAUACUGUGUACGGUAAAUUAGUCGAAGCGGAUUAUUGGUAUAUAUCCGUCCAACUUAGCGGGAACGUAAAAGGAGUGAAAGUUAAUCUACGGAUUAACGAUUUUGAUGAAAGUACUGGCUAGAAAAGCAGAUAUACGCGUGGUUAUAGCCGCCCGUACCGCAAACCAACACAGGUGCUCGAGUCGAGUAGACUCAGGCUUACGAGAGACCCUUCGCUAAGGAACUCGGCAAAACAGCGACCGUAACUUCGGGAUAAGGUCUGCCUCCGCAUCAUUCGAUGCGAGUCGUGUUUCAAGCAAUUAGGUUAAGAUUAAUGGUAUAUAUGAGUAUCUUAAACUUCUUUACCGAGAUAGAACAAGUCAAAUGGCUUAGCUUGGAACGUGGCAAACUCGUAUCAAACGAUGCGGAGGCCGCAGCAAAAGAGCCCACGGAACUGUUUACCAAAAACACAGGUCUCUGCGAACACGAAAGUGGAUGUAUAGGGGCUGACUCCUGCCCAGUGCUGGAAGGUUAAGGGGAGUGCUUUACGGUGCGAACUGAAGCCCCAGUGAACGGCGGCGGUAACUAUAACCGUCCUAAGGUAGCGAAAUUCCUUGUCAGGUAAGUUCUGACCCGCACGAAUGGAGUAAUCAUGUGGGCACUGUCUCGGCGAAGGACUCGGUGAAAGUGCAUUGGCGGUAAAGAUGCCGUCUGUCCAUGCCAGGACGAGAAGACCCCAUGGAGCUUUACUACAGCUUUACAUUGACACGGGUUACAUCAUGUGUAGCAUAGGUGGGAGGCUUUGAAGCAGAUACGCCAGUAUUUGUGGAGCCACAGGUGAAAUACCACCCUUGAUGUAGUCUUUGUCUUACCAUUGCCGUUAUCCGGUAAUGGGACCGUGUAUGGUGGGUAGUUUAACUGGGGCGGUUGCCUCCUAAAGAGUAGCGG
Molecule: ribosomal RNA, 2203 nt
Filed under: human oral metagenome
Description: bacterial LSU rRNA
Rfam family: Bacterial large subunit ribosomal RNA
Source: RNAcentral